Corylus avellana is the source of this 188-nucleotide non-coding RNA. The record is from RefSeq and is a predicted model, not a curated record. Lineage: Eukaryota; Viridiplantae; Streptophyta; Magnoliopsida; Fagales; Betulaceae.
GAAGAAAGCUACAAGCUUGAGUCGGAAAUUUUGUCUAAUUCCCUCACAUUUGACGCGAAUUAAGGCUUAAUGGUCCAAUGGAUGAACUUUGCGGGGUAAUGUUUUGUUUAAAGUAUUUGGAAGCAAAUUCAAGGAAUUGAAGAUAAUCUAUGUUUGAGGUGGCUCAAGGAAAUUAUUGUGUAACCGUG